RNAcentral lists this transfer RNA (57 nucleotides) under Canis lupus familiaris (dog). It matches the Rfam family "tRNA", at positions 8 to 63 of the family's 71-position model. Rfam says of the family: Transfer RNA (tRNA) molecules are approximately 80 nucleotides in length. Their secondary structure includes four short double-helical elements and three loops (D, anti-codon, and T loops). Lineage: Eukaryota; Metazoa; Chordata; Mammalia; Carnivora; Canidae. The record is from Rfam by way of RNAcentral. RNAcentral also lists the same sequence under 1 other name.
UAGCUCAGCAAUAGAGCAUGAGACUCUUGAUCUCAGGGUCGUGAGUUUGAGCCCCAC